RNAcentral lists this ribosomal RNA (261 nucleotides) under uncultured archaeon. RNAcentral's name for it is "partial 16S ribosomal RNA". It matches the Rfam family "Archaeal small subunit ribosomal RNA", at positions 748 to 1008 of the family's 1478-position model. The record is from RNAcentral.
UAGCCGUAAACGAUACUCGCUAGGCGUCGGCCACGGUGCGACCGUUGUCGGUGCCGUAGGGAAGCCGUGAAGCGAGCCACCUGGGAAGUACGGCCGCAAGGCUGAAACUUAAAGGAAUUGGCGGGGGAGCACAACAACGGGUGGAGCUUGCGGUUUAAUUGGAUUCAACGCCGGAAAUCUUACCGGGACCGACAGCAACAUGAAGGCCAAGCUGAAGACUUUGCCGGAUUAGCUGAGAGGUGGUGCAUGGCGUGUGACUGU